This 807-nucleotide long non-coding RNA is filed under the name Chinchilla lanigera (long-tailed chinchilla). RNAcentral describes it as "lncRNA (ENSCLAG00000028695.1)". Lineage: Eukaryota; Metazoa; Chordata; Mammalia; Rodentia; Chinchillidae. The record is from RNAcentral.
CUUAAAAAUAGCUGAAUUUUACAGUGCUGGAAUGGAUACCAUUUUGAUAUUGAUCAGCCUUCACAGAGGUGAUAUUUAAACUAUCAUGUUUUUCAGUUUACACAGGAGUAAUGUUAAGGAUGUUUAACCACCAUGUGGAGCUGACAGUCACCUGGGACACAGAACUGUGCCGGCCACAUCAUGGGGCUCAGUGGGCACCACACGGCCCCUCCUUGCUGCAGGAAAGUUGGUUCUGAGUCCCCAGUGGGCAUGGGGCUGUGGUCGCCCUGGGCUCCAUGACACCUACCAACGUGGGUACACACAAGCACAGGAGGGCGCACGGGGCCCAGCCCUUGUCCUCACCGGUCUCUCUGCCCUCCCUCUCUCAUCUUUACGAUCCUGUCACCAGGGAUGGUGACAGUAACCAGGACAGGUGCUGACGUUUGCUGUGAUGUGCUGCGUCCUUCACCCCAGCUCUCUCUCGAUGGAGCAACCCCGGGAGGCAAGAUGCUUCUGUGAGCAGCAGGCUCCACUCUGCACCUCCAGCCCGCAGGAGCCAGGGCCACGUUCAGAAUGCAGGAAGCUGGUGGGCUCUGAGCUCAGCCGGAGAUUUUGGAGAGGGGAUCAGCACAGGACACACUCCUGGCUCAUCACGUGUGCACAUCCCCAGGGUCACCACCGAGGCACCCCUUGUCCUCUCCCGGAAACACUGGCAUCAAGGGCUCUACUCCGCUCUUGCUGACCUGACGUCUGUUUAUGAAGCUACCUGUGCCGACGCUCAGGGCAGACCCCUCACCACGGCUCCCCAGCGGAGCUAGAACAAACGCA